This is a long non-coding RNA of Hyposmocoma kahamanoa, 1082 nucleotides long. RefSeq lists it as uncharacterized. NCBI's taxonomy places the organism in Eukaryota, Metazoa, Arthropoda, Insecta, Lepidoptera, Cosmopterigidae. The record is from RefSeq and is a predicted model, not a curated record. The transcript has 5 exons.
AUUCUGAAUCGUCGACGCUGCACACGGGAAUUAAAUAAUCCAUUUAAUUUAGACGAUGACGAGUUCAUUAAAUAAUAUCGACUGACCCCAGACAUGACAGGUUCUCUGUGUGAAGAGCUUAAGACAUUUUUAACGCAGCCAACAAAGUCGUCAGAUUUGUCGGUAGAGACUAAGGUUUUAACAGCUUUAUCCUUUUACGCUCAUGGUUCGUACCAGAGGCCUACGGGCGAGGUACGUGACUUGUGUAUAGCACAGUCAACUGUAUCAAAUGUUCUUGGUCAAGUAACAUCUGCAAUAAAUACUUCUUAUAUGCGAAAUAAGAACAUUAAAUUCCCAUUGUCGGCCGAACAACGCAGACGCAAUAAAUUGCAAUUUUACAGCAAAUUUGGAAUGCCCGGUGUUAUCGGCUGUAAAAACGGUACUCACAUUGCCAUUGUACGUCCAAAAGACCAUGAGGAAAAGUUUUUUGUCGUAAAAAUUAUCGCUCGUUGAAUGUACAACUAAUAUGUAAUGCAAACAUGCAAAUAAUUAGCAUUGAUGCGAGACACGGAGGAGCUACUCAUGAUUCGUUUAUUUGGUCCCAUCAUCCCCUAUGUGCUUACCUAAAUAACCUCAGCAGUAAUGAAGGUCUAUGGCUUCUAGGUGAUUCUGGAUAUCCUCUUAGGAGAACUGUAAUGACACCAAUAUUGAAUGCACCAGAAGGUUUAGAAGAAGCAUUUUAUACAGAUCGGCACGUGAAGACCCGGAAUGUGAUCGAGAGAACGAUUGGUCUUCUGAAGACCCGUUUCCAUUGCCUACUCGUACACAGAACAUUUCACUAUGAGCCACAAGCUGCAGGUUUAAUUACAAACGCAUGUGCAAUAUUACAUAACAUUUGUAAUGAAACCAAUGUUCCUGUUGAAGAACUGACACGAGAGGACACAAAUAAUGAAGCUGGAAUGCAACCUAACAUCAUUGCGUAUCGGGAUGCAGUUGGUGUUGCAAACAGCGACUUGCAAGCAGGCAUUGCAACAUGAAGUAAUCUUGUGCGACGCAUAGGAGAACUCAGGCAUCACGAUUAGUAACAGUUGAAUUAAAAUGAU